UACGUAGGGGGCGAGCGUUGUCCGGAUUUACUGGGCGUAAAAGGCUCGUAGGUGGCUCGUCCAGUCGGACGUGAAAUCUCCCGGCUUAACUGGGAGGGGUCGUUCGAUACUAGCGGGCUCGAGGUCGGUAGAGGGAAGCGGAAUUCCGGGUGUAGUGGUGGAAUGCGUAGAGAUCCGGAGGAACACCAGUGGCGAAGGCGGCAUCCUGGACUGGUCCUGACACUCAGGAGCGAAAGCGUGGGGAGCGAUCCGG
Molecule: ribosomal RNA, 253 nt
Filed under: uncultured bacterium
Lineage: Bacteria
Description: partial 16S ribosomal RNA
Rfam family: Bacterial small subunit ribosomal RNA
Source: RNAcentral